This 497-nucleotide ribosomal RNA is filed under the name uncultured bacterium. Its description in RNAcentral is "partial 16S ribosomal RNA". It matches the Rfam family "Bacterial small subunit ribosomal RNA", at positions 28 to 507 of the family's 1533-position model. The record is from RNAcentral.
GAUGAACGCUGGCGGCGUGCCUAAUACAUGCAAGUCGAGCGGACGGACGCGACGCUUGCUUCUUUGAUGUUAGCGGCGCGCGGGAGAGUAACAUGUGGAUAACCUACUUAUAAGACUGGGAUAAUUUCGGGACACCGGAGCUUAUACCGGAGAAUAUUUUGAACCGCAUGGUUCAAUAGUGAAAGUCGGCGUUGCUGUCACUUCUAGAUGGAUCUGCGCUGCAUUAGCUAGUUGGUACGGUAACGGGUUAUCAAGGGAACGAUGCAUAGCCGACCGGAGAGGGGGAUCGGCCACACUGGAGCGGAGCCGCGGUCCAGACUCCUACGGGACGCAGCAGUAGGGUAUCGGCCGCAAUGGGCGAGAGCCUUACGGAGCGACGCCGCGUGUGUGGUGGAGGUCUUCGGAGCGGAAAACUCUGUUAUGAGGUGAGAACAGAUUUGUAAGUAACUGAGGACUGCGUGACGGUACCGAAUCAGAAAGCAACGGCUAACUACGUG